UUUAUNGGAUAGAGAUGGGCUCGCGUGACAUUAGCUAGUUGGUAGGGUAACGGCUUANCAAGGCGACGAUGUCUAGGGGCUCUGAGAGGAGAAUCCCCCNCACUGGUACUGAGACACGGACCAGACUCNUACGGNAGGCAGCAGUAANGGAAUAUUGGUCAAUGGGCGGAAGCCUGAACCAGCCAUGCCGCGNGCAGGAUGACUGCCCUAUGGGUUGUAAACUGCUUUUGUCCAGGAAUAAACCUAGAUACGUGUAUCUAGCUGAAUGUACUGGAAGAAUAAGGAUCGGCUAACUCCGUGCCAGCAGCCGCGGUAAUACGGAGGAUCCGAGCGUUAUCCGGAUUUAUUGGGUUUAAAGGGUGCGUAGGCGGCCUGUUAAGUCAGGGGUGAAAUACGGUGGCUCAACCAUCGCAGUGCCUUUGAUACUGACGGGCUUGAAUCCAUUUGAAGUGGGCGGAAUAAGACAAGUAGCGGUGAAAUGCAUAGAUAUGUCUUAGAACUCCGAUUGCGAAGGCAGCUCACUAAGCUGGUAUUGACGCUGAUGCACGAAAGCGUGGGGAUCGAACAGGAUUAGAUACCCUGGUAGUCCACGCCCUAAACGAUGAUAACUCGAUGUUGGCGAUAGACAGCCAGCGUCCCAGCGAAAGCGUUAAGUUAUCCACCUGGGGAGUACGCCCGCAAGGGUGAAACUCAAAGGAAUUGACGGGGGCCCGCACAAGCGGAGGAGCAUGUGGUUUAAUUCGAUGAUACGCGAGGAACCUUACCC
RNAcentral lists this ribosomal RNA (766 nucleotides) under Sphingobacterium multivorum. Its description in RNAcentral is "bacterial SSU rRNA". It matches the Rfam family "Bacterial small subunit ribosomal RNA", at positions 211 to 976 of the family's 1533-position model. The record is from RNAcentral. Lineage: Bacteria; Pseudomonadati; Bacteroidota; Sphingobacteriia; Sphingobacteriales; Sphingobacteriaceae.